AGAGACCUAUACACAAAGAAAAAUCCGCCGUUUGACACAGACCCUUCCGUUCAUCUUCUUCAAGAACCAAAGUUCCCUUAUUUUUCUUCUUCUUCAGCUCACCUCACAGGACCUUACCCCUUCCUUCUCCAGCUUCUGAUUUACACGCGCAUCGGAGGCCCUCCUUUUCCAAAAAGAUAAGCGUCGUUUCCUCCCGGAUUUGCUUCCUUCUCUCUCAAUCUUCAGGAGAAGCAACAGUGGCACACCUCUCAACAUUACUUCCAAAUAGACCAAGAAAGCAACCAUUACUCUUUUUUUACUUCAUUUUUCCAAUCCUCACUCUUCCAACCAGUCAAGCACAGUAAACCCUUCAGAGAACCAUAGUCAGAGUUUAUUUGUUUGGUUUUUUAAGAAUUUAUUGCUUUUCCACAUUUAUACUCGAUGCAAAGAUUAGCAACAAUUAGUAAAAUCCAAGAUGAUGCUGCAUAUUCAGUAUCUUUGUGAACUAUUGAAUAAAAAUUGUACAAUAGACCCGUUUUUUAACCAACAUCUAGAAAACCAGUGGCAUACUAGAAAACUAUUACCUCUGAUGUCUCUGUCUGCACCAUUAGAGCAGCUUUGGCUCUAGCGUUGGCAAAUUGCCAUUGAAUUUGCCGAUUAUUCAGUAGCCUCAGUUCAUGUGCAUCAAUGAUGCGAUUCUCCCCAACUUUUCCUCUUCUCACAUCGGCAGUAAAACUCAAACAUGAAGGCAUAAUGCAAGCAUUAUUAGUCGAUUGAGUUUCAGGGUGGUUUGAAUUUAUCGCUGGAGUUCGCUUGGUUUAGUCCGAGAUUUCCGGUGUCAUUGUUAUGUCAGCUGUGUUGGUUCGCUGCUGAUUUCGAAGUGAUUCGCCUGGGCUUCGAAUUUUCAUCCUCCGAUUUCGGACUGCUGUUGGUUGCUAUUUUCAUCUCAAUUGUUAGCUGGACUCACCAUAGUUAUUCUCAGCCUUUGUUCGGCCUUUAAAAUUUGCUUGUCGCUGUUUAGAUGAUGAUUUAUAGUAUUUGGGCUGAUUGCGCACCAUAAAGCUCCUAAUUCGAGUUUUUUAUUAACUGAUGCCACCCCGUUGAGUUUAACUUUUUUUUCUUUUGCUUUGUAGAAUCAUAUUGCUAAAUAGUAAAGCUAUCGCAGUUGCCAAGUUAAACAUUCUGCUAAAAUUUGUUCUUAAAAGAUACUUCUUGUAACUGUAGUUGCAAACCAAACACUUUUAACAUUUAUAUUUGUAAAUUAUAGGUUAUUUGCUAUGUCAUUUACUGCCUUUGUAAUA
This is a long non-coding RNA of Nicotiana tabacum (common tobacco), 1280 nucleotides long. RefSeq lists it as uncharacterized. Lineage: Eukaryota; Viridiplantae; Streptophyta; Magnoliopsida; Solanales; Solanaceae. The record is from RefSeq and is a predicted model, not a curated record.